GGUGCGGUAGUUCAGUAGGUAGAAUACCGGCCUGUCACGCUGGGGGUCGCGGGUUCGAGUCCCGUCCGCACCG
RNAcentral lists this transfer RNA (73 nucleotides) under secondary endosymbiont of Trabutina mannipara. It matches the Rfam family "tRNA". Rfam says of the family: Transfer RNA (tRNA) molecules are approximately 80 nucleotides in length. Their secondary structure includes four short double-helical elements and three loops (D, anti-codon, and T loops). Further hydrogen bonds mediate the characteristic L-shaped molecular structure. tRNAs have two regions of fundamental functional importance: the anti-codon, which is responsible for specific mRNA codon recognition, and the 3' end, to which the tRNAs corresponding amino acid is attached (by aminoacyl-tRNA synthetases). tRNAs cope with the degeneracy of the genetic code in two manners: having more than one tRNA (with a specific anti-codon) for a particular amino acid; and 'wobble' base-pairing, i.e. permitting non-standard base-pairing at the 3rd anti-codon position. The record is from Rfam by way of RNAcentral. Lineage: Bacteria; Pseudomonadati; Pseudomonadota; Gammaproteobacteria; Enterobacterales; Enterobacteriaceae.